GAUGAAGAACGUAGCGAAAUGCGAUAAGUAAUGUGAAUUGCAGAAUUCAGUGAAUCAUCGAAUCUUUGAACGCACAUUGCGCCCCCUGGUAUUCCGGGGGGCAUGCCUGUUCGAGCGUCAUUGCUGCCCUCAAGCACGGCUUGUGUGUUGGGCCUCCGUCCUCCUCCCGGGGGACGGGCCCGAAAGGCAGCGGCGGCACCGCGUCCGGUCCUCGAGCGUAUGGGGCUUCGUCACCCGCUCUUGUAGGCCCGGCCGGCGCUUGCCGACACAUCAAUCUUUUUUCCAGGUUGACCUCGGAUCAGGUAGGGAUACCCGCUGAACUUAAGCAUAUCAAUAAGCGGAGGA
Molecule: unclassified non-coding RNA, 345 nt
Filed under: soil metagenome
Description: partial contains 5.8S ribosomal RNA, internal transcribed spacer 2, and large subunit ribosomal RNA
Rfam family: 5.8S ribosomal RNA (bases 1-120)
Source: RNAcentral